GGACACCAGUUUGCGCUUCACCACACGGUCAGCCCUCGGAGGCAGCCAGUCUCCGAGAGGCCGGGCUUUGGUCCUACCCCAGGCGGUCUCGCCCCCAGGAGACCCUCGGCAGUUUCUGGAGAUGUUUCUGGUGGUCACACUCGGGGUGCAUGCGUGUGUGUAUAUUACAUUCUACAGUCAUGUACGGCAUAUACGCCUGACUGCAUAUACAGUGACGGUCCCAUGAGAUUAAUACCACACAGCCCAGAUGUGUAGCAGGCUAUACCAUCCAGGUUUGGCGCCAAGGCCGCCUGGACUCCCGCCCGCGCCGAUCUGUAACCAAACACCGCUCUGCUCCCUUGAGCCCAUGUCCCCGCCGCCGUGCUCGCUGUGCGUCUCUCUGCUGGGAAAUGGCGAACAACUGUGCCGAAAACCAGUGUUCCCUGGAGCGCUUUGCACUCCCAGCUCAAAUAAAACUCUCUAGGUAGAAUGAUCAUUGGUUAUUGGCAUUGACAGACCUGAAAGAACGAGUGGUUUCACUGCUCUGUGCCGUAGUUGCCCCAUCUGGAACAAAGACAUGUUACUGUACCAGCCUAGGAGCUGUUGUGAGGAUCGAAGGAGAGAUCCUUACAAAGCGCUCCACACGUUAGCUAUUAUUAUGCUUGGUGCUGUUGUUGGCGAGCUAGACUCAGAGGAGCCGGUGGGGAUGAGGCGGGCGCACACCAGCACAACACGGAGUGAGAAGCACAGCUCAGCGCGUUCAGAAAACAGAGGGGCCCCAGCAAGGCCAGGUAUUUUCAUCCUCCUGACCCUCUGCCCAGGCUCUCAAGGGACAACUGGAGUCGCAGGUGUUUCAUGUGGUUCUCACUAAACACAAGGAACAACCAAUACAUUGUACGGGCUUGCACUUCAGUCAGGAUCACCUGUUGAUCUCCCUAGUGCGUAUUUCUUUUGAGAUAUCCAGCUUUUUUUGUUUAGAAUUUCUAUGUUAAGUAGUUAUUUAUUGUCAUAGCGAUUAUAUGCACGUUUCCAGAAUGUUUUUUGCUUUUUAAAAGAAACCUUUUUAAAAAAAUGAGUGUGGGGCCGGCCCGUGGCCAAGUGGUUGAGUUCACACUCAGCUUCGGCGGCCCAGGGUUUCACCAGUUCAGAUCCUGGGUGCGGACAUGGCACCGCUCGUCAGGCCACGUUGAGGCGGUGUCCCACAUGCCACAACUAGAAGGACCCACAACUGAAAUAUACAACUAUGUACUGGGGGGCUUUGGGGAGAAAAAGGGAAAAUAAAAUCUUUUAAAAACUGAGUGAUUCUUAUCAGCUUGCUGGGGCUGCCGUGACCAAGCCCCACGGACGGACGGGGCUCUUCGACAGCAGGAGCUCACUUCCCCACGUUGAGGAGGCCAGAAUUCAGAGAUCAGGGCGGUGGAGGGUCGGUUUCUCCUGAGGCCUCUGUCCUUGCAUAUAGACGGCUGUCUCCUCCCUCUGUCCUCACAGGGUGGUCCCUCUGUGCGUGUCUGCGUCCUCAUCCCCUCUUCGUAUGAGGACACCAGUCACAUCGGAUGAGGGCCCACCGCAAUGCCCUCACUUUAACUUACUUGCCUCUUUAAAGACUGUUUUCAAACACAGUCACAUUCUGAAGUACCAGGAUUAGGGCUUCAACAGAUGAAGGUGGGGGAGACAUGGCUCAGGCAAUGACAGCCAGAACCCAGGUGGGCAGGGGAGCGGUGAGACAAGGCUGGGGGACUUGAUAAGGCCAGACCUGGAGAUAUAUUUAGGCCAUGGUCAGUGGCUGCAAUUUUGCCCCCAGCGCCACAGGGAGCCCUGAUGGACGCUAGUCAGGGAGGGUGGUAGUCAGUCUUGUGUCCAAGCAAGACGACUCUGGCUGCCAGUGGGGCACUGAGGCCAGACUGGAGGCCGUAGGGGGAGGGAGGCAAAGGAACCAGACACUGGUAAUGUCAGUAGGGUGGACGGGCCCGGGCAGAGAGGAGAGGGGGUGGGAUCCAAGCCAUCAGGCUUGGAAGUCCUUGCUGUUGACCACUUCUCUCCCCCUGGCAGGAUGGGACAGAGCGUGGCAGAGACGACUGCAGCCCUGCCUCUCCCCCGUCUGCUCCCCUUCUCCCUCACCCAGGAGGAUGGAGUCCAUGGCCACAAGCCUUUGUCUUUCUCAGGCUCUGCCCAUUGGCCUUCACAAUGGCCCCAUGGGGUGGGCGUUAUGAUUAGCCCUAUUUUGCAGAUGAGGAGCCUGAAGCACAGCGAGCUUAAGUGACUGGCCUUGGGGCGCACAGCUAAUUACCCCAGAUUCAAACAGAGCCAAACCAUCGGUGGAAACAGCGAGGCUUUGUCUUGGCGAUUCUGUGGGGAUGCACACCCCCCGUAGCGCCGCCUUCGCCGAUGCUCAGCACACCGCAGACGCCUCAGCGCACCGAAAGAAACAUAGAAUGGGACAGCCGCCUCGACCGGUUCUGCGGAAACAAAGCCAUCAAUAUUGUUUUAAAUUUCGCUUCUUCCUUUUUAAAUGGUGGUGCAUUUUAAACGAUGAUUACAUCUUAGCUGGGUGAAAGUAAUAAUCUUAUGGGAAAUACAGUGUAGGGAGAUUUCACCCUUCCUCUCCGUCCCAGCCCACCGGGUACCCUUCCUGGCAGCCACAUCUGUUACACAUUCCUGAAGGGGUAGUUCUAAGCACAUGGCAUUGUCAGCCCCAUUGCCCUCCCCCCCUUUUUUUUUUAACAGGAUAGUACUUUUUGCACCCAUUUUUCUGCAACUUUCUAUGUUCAAUUUAAUGUGAAGACUGCACAGCAGAGGUGAAAAGAACGGACUGAACCCGACUAAGUUUGACUCCGGCCUCUCCUCUUGCUGUGCUGGGACUCUGAGCCAGUUGUUUAACCUCUAGUGCCUCAUUUUCCUCAGCUCUAAAAUGGGGAUUGCCAUGAGGGUUGCAUGAAUGAAAAUCUGCAAAGCACCUAGAGUGGUACCUAAUAAAACACACAUAUGCGUGAAAUAAAA
Equus caballus (horse) is the source of this 2976-nucleotide long non-coding RNA. Lineage: Eukaryota; Metazoa; Chordata; Mammalia; Perissodactyla; Equidae. The record is from Ensembl.